This 443-nucleotide ribosomal RNA is filed under the name uncultured bacterium. RNAcentral describes it as "partial 16S ribosomal RNA". It matches the Rfam family "Bacterial small subunit ribosomal RNA", at positions 338 to 795 of the family's 1533-position model. The record is from RNAcentral.
CCUACGGGGGGCAGCAGUGGGGAAUAUUGGGCAAUGGGCGCAAGCCUGACCCAGCAACGCCGCGUGAAGGAAGAAGGCUUUCGGGUUGUAAACUUCUUUUCUGAGGGACGAAGCAAGUGACGGUACCUCAGGAAUAAGCCACGGCUAACUACGUGCCAGCAGCCGCGGUAAUACGUAGGUGGCAAGCGUUAUCCGGAUUUACUGGGUGUAAAGGGCGUGUAGGCGGGAAUGCAAGUCAGAUGUGAAAACUAUGGGCCCAACCCAUAGCCUGCAUUUGAAACUGUAUUUCUUGAGUGCUGGAGAGGCAAUCGGAAUGCGGGGUGUAGCGGUGAAAUGCGUAGAUAUACGGAGGAACACCAGUGGCGAAGGCGGAUUGCUGGACAGUAACUGACGCUGAGGCGCGAAAGCGUGGGGAGCAAACAGGAUUAGAUACCCGUGUAGUC